UGUGGACAUUACGAAAGCCGCAGCUCCUUCACCUCAGCUGCUAUAGCCAAAAAGGAGCUCAGAGUGACAGCCGUCCCUGGCAGGAACUCUCUGCUUGCCAUAAUGGAUCUGCAGUAUUUUGAGGAAACACUGUU
Molecule: small nucleolar RNA, 134 nt
Organism: Otolemur garnettii (small-eared galago)
Lineage: Eukaryota; Metazoa; Chordata; Mammalia; Primates; Galagidae
Source: Ensembl